RNAcentral lists this ribosomal RNA (204 nucleotides) under Theileria cervi. Its description in RNAcentral is "partial 18S ribosomal RNA". It matches the Rfam family "Eukaryotic small subunit ribosomal RNA", at positions 1459 to 1667 of the family's 1831-position model. The record is from RNAcentral. Lineage: Eukaryota; Apicomplexa; Aconoidasida; Piroplasmida; Theileriidae.
GGUCUGUGAUGCCUUAGAUGUCCUGGGCUGCACGCGCGCUACACUGAUGCGUCCAUCGAGUUUAUCCUUGGCCGAGAGGCCCGGGUAAUCUUUAGUGCGCAUCGUGAUGGGGAUCGAUUAUUGCAAUUAUUAAUCGUGAACGAGGAAUGCCUAGUAUGCGCAAGUCACCAGCUUGUGCAGAUUACGUCCCUGCCCUUUGUACAC